This 427-nucleotide ribosomal RNA is filed under the name uncultured bacterium. RNAcentral describes it as "bacterial SSU rRNA". It matches the Rfam family "Bacterial small subunit ribosomal RNA", at positions 356 to 773 of the family's 1533-position model. The record is from RNAcentral.
AGGGAAUUUUCCGCAAUGGACGAAAGUCUGACGGAGCAACGCCGCGUGAGUGAGGACGGUCUUCGGAUUGUAAAACUCUGUUCUCUCGGAAGAGCAUCUUAGAGCUGAAUAGGUUCUAAGAUCCGACGGUACGAGAGGAGAAAGCCCCGGCUAACUACGUGCCAGCAGCCGCGGUAAUACGUAGGGGGCAAGCGUUGUCCGGAUUUAUUGGGCGUAAAGGGCGCGUAGGCGGCCUCUUAAGUCAGUUGUGAAAGGUCCCGGCUCAACCGGGGAGUUGCAGCUGAAACUGGGAGGCUUGAGUGCAGGAGAGGAGAGCGGAAUUCUCGGUGUAGCGGUGGAAUGCGUAGAGAUCGGGAGGAACACCAGUGGCGAAGGCGGCUCUCUGGCCUGUUACUGACGCUGAGGCGCGAAAGCGUGGGGAGCGAAC